Molecule: long non-coding RNA, 902 nt
Organism: Odocoileus virginianus texanus
Lineage: Eukaryota; Metazoa; Chordata; Mammalia; Artiodactyla; Cervidae
Source: RefSeq, a predicted model, not a curated record
CUGGAUGGAUGCUAGUGUGGUUCAUGGAGACAGAGAACAUUUAAAGGGUCAGCUUUGGUGAGAGGUCUCCCAAGCAGGUCUGCGUUUGGACAUGCGAACUUUGAAAUGGAGCAGCUGAGGCAUAAAGUACAGAGGGGAGGUCUGAAGAGUAGUUUCUCAAGCUGUGAGUUCUGCCCUGAUCUUCUGGACACUCAGGUUCCAUUCAUUUGCUAGAGUGACUCACCUAUCUCAGGAAACCAGCUUACUCACUGGAUUACUGGUUUACUACAAAGGAGAAUAAGGGAUACGAAUCAACAAACAGAUGAAGCGCUGCAUAGGGUGAGGUCUUGUACAAAGGAACUUCUGUCCUCAUGGAGUUUGGGGCCUGGCACAGUGGCACUUGGAAGUGUUCUGCUUCACCAACCUGGAAGCUCUCUGAGACUCAUCCUCUUGGGUGUUUAUGGAGGCUUCAUUGCUCAGCCAUGACUGAUUAAAUCCUGGCUAGAGAAUUUUACCCAGGACCAAGAAGUAAUGCAGACAAGCUUCUCAGAGCCAGUGCUACUGUGACAAAGUCCAUGCACUGGCUUUCCUGGAUACUCGCUGGAGAAUUCCACAGACCAUCACUUGGAACCUGUACUUCACUUGAGAUGAUUCUAAGCCUAGCUGGUUGGUUUCUCUCAAUAGAUUAAAUCCAAACAAGAGAAGGAAGUAAAAAACUACCAUCAGCAGGAAAACAACAGCAGGAGAGGAAGCAGAAAACUAAAAAGCUGGCACAAAGACAUUACUUAGUAGAAGGACAAACAGCUCCUCACCCUGUAAGACAUACCUGUAUUGUAACACUGGGCAAUAAAUAAGGUUGAUCCUUGUGGCUCCAAGUUACACAGAAAAAGGUAAAUAAGUAUAUUGUAUCCAAGAAGUAUAUG